Small nuclear RNA from Eublepharis macularius, 108 nucleotides. Lineage: Eukaryota; Metazoa; Chordata; Lepidosauria; Squamata; Eublepharidae. The record is from RefSeq and is a predicted model, not a curated record.
GCCUUGGUCAUGAAAGGCGUAUAUACUAAAAUUGGAACAAUAUAGAGAAGGUAAGCAUGGCCCCUGUGAAAGGAUGGAUUGUUCAUACCCCUAUUAUAUACUGUUUUU